UGGUAAGGCCAUAUCACCCUGAACGUGCCCAAUCUCAUCUGAUCUCGAAAGCUAAGCAGGGUCAGGCCUGGUUAGUAUUUGGAUGGGAGACAGAUCUUCAAAAGACACUGCUCAG
RNAcentral lists this ribosomal RNA (115 nucleotides) under Castor canadensis (American beaver). The record is from RNAcentral. Lineage: Eukaryota; Metazoa; Chordata; Mammalia; Rodentia; Castoridae.